Molecule: long non-coding RNA, 338 nt
Organism: Engraulis encrasicolus (European anchovy)
Lineage: Eukaryota; Metazoa; Chordata; Actinopteri; Clupeiformes; Engraulidae
Exons: 3
Source: RefSeq, a predicted model, not a curated record
UGGCAGCAGGACACUGAAGAUGUCAGAUGGACUCCUGACAGCUCCUGCAUGUCCACAGACAAGUCACACAGUAUGGGCCUCUGAUGGAAGAUGGAACGGAUGAGGUGCUGGAUGAACAUCAUGCUCAGGACACUGAAGAUGUCAGAUGGACUCCUGACUGCUCCUGCAUGUCCACAGACAAGUCACACAGUAUGGGCCUCUGAUGGAAGAUGGAACGGAUGAGGUGCUGGAUGAACAUCAUGCUGGGUUAUAACCUAAAACAAUACCAGCACAAGGCAGAUAAGGUGCGGGGACAUCAGAGGCGUCGCAAUCACGUUAGCCUACGGUCGGAAUGGCGG